This 460-nucleotide ribosomal RNA is filed under the name uncultured bacterium. RNAcentral's name for it is "partial 16S ribosomal RNA". It matches the Rfam family "Bacterial small subunit ribosomal RNA", at positions 338 to 795 of the family's 1533-position model. The record is from RNAcentral.
CCUACGAGAGGCAGCAGUGAGGAAUAUUGGUCAAUGGGCGGGAGCCUGAACCAGCCAAGUCGCGUGAGUGACGACGGUCCUAUGGAUUGUAAACCUCUUUAGGCGGGGAGCAAUGCCGGGCACGUGUGCCCGGAGGGAGAGUACCCGCAGAAUAAGCAUCGGCUAACUCCGUGCCCGCAGCCGCGGUACUACGGAGGAUGCGUGCGUUAGACGAAUUUAUGGGGUUUAAAGAGUGCGUAGGCGGAUUUUUAAGUUAGCGUGAAAAUGUCCGGGCUCAACCCGGGCGGGCCGUUGAAACUGGGGAUCUUGAGUGGGCGAGAAGUAUGCGGAAUGCGUGGUGUAGCGGUGAAAUGCGUAGAUAUCACGCAGAACUCCGAUUGCGAAGGCAGCAUACCGGCGCCCGACUGACGCUGAGGCACGAAAGCGUGGGGAUCGAACAGGAUUAGAUACCCUGGUAGUC